RNAcentral lists this ribosomal RNA (1299 nucleotides) under Ralstonia solanacearum. Its description in RNAcentral is "bacterial SSU rRNA". It matches the Rfam family "Bacterial small subunit ribosomal RNA", at positions 68 to 1363 of the family's 1533-position model. The record is from RNAcentral. Lineage: Bacteria; Pseudomonadati; Pseudomonadota; Betaproteobacteria; Burkholderiales; Burkholderiaceae.
GGGGGGCGUCGUGCUUGCUACCUGCCGGCGAGUGGCGAACGGGUGAGUAAUACAUCGGAACGUGCCCUGUAGUGGGGGAUAACUAGUCGAAAGACUAGCUAAUACCGCAUACGACCUGAGGGUGAAAGUGGGGGACCGCAAGGCCUCAUGCUAUAGGAGCGGCCGAUGUCUGAUUAGCUAGUUGGUGGGGUAAGGGCCCACCAAGGCGACGAUCAGUAGCUGGUCUGAGAGGACGAUCAGCCACACUGGGACUGAGACACGGCCCAGACUCCUACGGGAGGCAGCAGUGGGGAAUUUUGGACAAUGGGGGCAACCCUGAUCCAGCAAUGCCGCGUGUGUGAAGAAGGCCUUCGGGUUGUAAAGCACUUUUGUCCGGAAAGAAAUCGCACUGGUUAAUACCUGGUGUGGAUGACGGUACCGGAAGAAUAAGGACCGGCUAACUACGUGCCAGCAGCCGCGGUAAUACGUAGGGUCCAAGCGUUAAUCGGAAUUACUGGGCGUAAAGCGUGCGCAGGCGGUUGUGCAAGACCGAUGUGAAAUCCCCGGGCUUAACCUGGGAAUUGCAUUGGUGACUGCACGGCUAGAGUGUGUCAGAGGGAGGUAGAAUUCCACGUGUAGCAGUGAAAUGCGUAGAGAUGUGGAGGAAUACCGAUGGCGAAGGCAGCCUCCUGGGAUAACACUGACGCUCAUGCACGAAAGCGUGGGGAGCAAACAGGAUUAGAUACCCUGGUAGUCCACGCCCUAAACGAUGUCAACUAGUUGUUGGGGAUUCAUUUCCUUAGUAACGUAGCUAACGCGUGAAGUUGACCGCCUGGGGAGUACGGUCGCAAGAUUAAAACUCAAAGGAAUUGACGGGGACCCGCACAAGCGGUGGAUGAUGUGGAUUAAUUCGAUGCAACGCGAAAAACCUUACCUACCCUUGACAUGCCACUAACGAAGCAGAGAUGCAUUAGGUGCUCGAAAGAGAAAGUGGACACAGGUGCUGCAUGGCUGUCGUCAGCUCGUGUCGUGAGAUGUUGGGUUAAGUCCCGCAACGAGCGCAACCCUUGUCUCUAGUUGCUACGAAAGGGCACUCUAGAGAGACUGCCGGUGACAAACCGGAGGAAGGUGGGGAUGACGUCAAGUCCUCAUGGCCCUUAUGGGUAGGGCUUCACACGUCAUACAAUGGUGCAUACAGAGGGUUGCCAAGCCGCGAGGUGGAGCUAAUCCCAGAAAAUGCAUCGUAGUCCGGAUCGUAGUCUGCAACUCGACUACGUGAAGCUGGAAUCGCUAGUAAUCGCGGAUCAGCAUGCCCGCGAU